This 496-nucleotide ribosomal RNA is filed under the name uncultured bacterium. RNAcentral describes it as "partial 16S ribosomal RNA". It matches the Rfam family "Bacterial small subunit ribosomal RNA", at positions 28 to 506 of the family's 1533-position model. The record is from RNAcentral.
GAUGAACGCUGGCGGCGUGCCUAAUACAUGCAAGUCGAGCGAACGGACGAGAAGCUUGCUUCUCUGACGUUAGCGGCGGACGGGUGAGUAACACGUGGAUAACCUACCUAUAAUACUGGUAUAACUUCGGGAAACCGUAGCUAAUACCGGAUAAUAUUUUGAACCGCAUGGUUCAAUAGUGAAAGACGGUUUUGCUGUCACUUAUAGAUGGAUCCGCGCUGCAUUAGCUAGUUGUUAAGGUAACGGCUUACCAAGGCAACGAUGCCUAGCCGACCUGAGAGGGUGUUGGGCCACACUGAAACUGAGAAGCGGUCAGGGCUCCUAGGGGAGGCAGAGGAAGGGAAUCUUGCGAAAUGGGGGAAAGACUGACGAAGCAACGCGGCGGGGAUGAAGAAGGUCUGCGGGUGGUAAAACUCUGUUAUAGGGGAAAAACAAAGGUGAAAGUAACGGUGCACAAGUGAAGGGAACCGAAAAAGAAGGCCCGGCCUAACAACGG